GAUUGAACGCUGGCGGCAUGCCUUACACAUGCAAGUCGAGCGGCAGCGCGGGGCAACCCUGGCGGCGAGCGGCGGACGGGUGAGUAAUACAUCGGAACGUGUCCUUUCGUGGGGGAUAACCAGUCGAAAGACUGGCUAAUACCGCAUGAGAUCUCACGAUGAAAGCGAGGGACCGCAAGGCCUCGCGCGAUUGGAGCGGCCGAUGUCGGAUUAGCAGGUUGGGACGGGGUAAAAGCCCACCAAGGCUACGAUCCGUAGCUGGUUUGAGAGAACGACCAGCCACA
RNAcentral lists this ribosomal RNA (284 nucleotides) under uncultured bacterium. RNAcentral describes it as "partial 16S ribosomal RNA". It matches the Rfam family "Bacterial small subunit ribosomal RNA", at positions 27 to 312 of the family's 1533-position model. The record is from RNAcentral.